UAGAAGGGUGGCCAGUUCAGGUGGUCAGAUGAGUGCAAGGCGAGCUUCCAGAAGCUUAGGACAGCUUUGACUACGACACCGGUAUUGGUUUUGCCCACGGUAUCAGGGCCUUAUACUAUUUAUUGUGAUGCUUCCCGUAUUGGGCUUGGCGUAGUAUUGAUGCAGAAUGACAGGGUUAGAGCAUAUGUUUCGAGGCAGUUGAAGAU
RNAcentral lists this long non-coding RNA (206 nucleotides) under Nicotiana benthamiana. RNAcentral describes it as "long non-coding RNA (NBEN_LNC026870)". The record is from RNAcentral. Lineage: Eukaryota; Viridiplantae; Streptophyta; Magnoliopsida; Solanales; Solanaceae.